AGAGCGAACGCUGGCGGCAGGCCUAACACAUGCAAGUCGAGCGCCCCGCAAGGGGAGCGGCAGACGGGAGAGUAACACGUGGGAACGUACCCUUUGGUUCGGAACAACACAGGGAAACUUGUGCUAAUACCGGAUAAGCCCUUACGGGGAAAGAUUUAUCGCCAAAGGAUCGGCCCGCGUCUGAUUAGCUUGUUGGUGAGGUAACGGCUCACCAAGGCUACGAUCAGUAGCUGGUCUGAGAGGAUGAUCAGCCUCACUGGGACUGAGAACGGCCCAGACUCCUACGGGAGGCAGCAGUAGGGAAUUUUCCACAAUGGGCGAAAGCCUGAUGGAGCAACGCCGCGUGCAGGAUGAAUGCCUUAGGGUUGUAAACUGCUUUUAUAUGUGACGAUUAUGACGGUAGCAUAUGAAUAAGGAUCGGCUAACUCCGUGCCAGCAGCCGC
Molecule: ribosomal RNA, 443 nt
Filed under: uncultured bacterium
Lineage: Bacteria
Description: SSU rRNA
Rfam family: Bacterial small subunit ribosomal RNA
Source: RNAcentral